Molecule: small RNA, 24 nt
Filed under: Arabidopsis thaliana (thale cress)
Lineage: Eukaryota; Viridiplantae; Streptophyta; Magnoliopsida; Brassicales; Brassicaceae
Description: ATSL218370
Source: RNAcentral
GUAAACAAAACCACUUGCAAAUUU